This 250-nucleotide long non-coding RNA is filed under the name Elaeis guineensis (African oil palm). RNAcentral's name for it is "long non-coding RNA (EGUI_LNC064389)". The record is from RNAcentral. Lineage: Eukaryota; Viridiplantae; Streptophyta; Magnoliopsida; Arecales; Arecaceae.
UCUGGAUGUUGGGUACCAUUGCUAGAUAGUUAUUUCGAUUGAUAUUGAAAUCUAUUCCUAUGCUAUCAGUCUAUAUUCAAAUUUAUGGGGUCACAUAUAUUAGAAGUACAUCUCCGAUCAUAUAGCUGAUCUGAAGAGUCCCACUAGAUUGGGACUCUACUGAAGAGUCCCACUGGAUUGGGACUCUAUUAUUAAUGAAGGAUUAAUCAAUGAUUAGAUCACUAAUUAGCUCAAUUUGAUUGAGCAUUAA